CUCUCCCGACGCCCCUGAGCGGAAAGGAAACUCCUGAUCGGGAAGAAAAGCAACUCUCUCAUCCACGCCUUUGGGCGGCUGGAGGACAUCAUCCCUGGAAGUAUUUGGGGAACUUUAUUCCAUUUUAAUCUUUUUGUCCUCAGGCCCAGGAGUCCGCUCAAAGGCUGGUUGACUUGACUUGAAAUUAAGGGAGGGCUGGGGGGAGCAAUCCCACACACAGCUCAAUAAAUAUGUUAAAAAAUAAUGAUGGUAGUGGGACUUCAGGAACUAUAACCCAGAGAAAUGGGGGAGGGGCCUCACCCCUCACAUUACUAUUUAUUUUGCCUUUGGGAAGACCCGCACCUGAGAAAAUGCUUUAUUAUUUGGUGGACUCAAAAGUCUCAAAGGCAGGACAUCCUUCCAGUCAGGUAAGAGUUAACUCCUGUGACAAGUGCUGUUUCACAUUGCGGUUUGAAGACCGGUGUUACCACAAUCUCCUGAUGUAAUAUUUAAAGCACCCAUGCAGAUAGCAAUUGGCCCACUGUCUGUAUAGUGAAAAAAACCCAUCCAGGUGAGCUGGGAAAGUCAGAGCCAGUGGUUUUUGUUUUUUGUUUUUGAAUCUUUUCUUAAUCAGAAUCAGUUGUUCAGCCUGUUGUCUUUUAUGAUUAAUAGUCCGAACUCUCCCCACCCCCUUUUGAAGGGAGAAGGAAGUAGCCAUUAGGUCAGAUACUGUAUUGUCAGCUGGCUUGGGAACAUGGUAGAGCCUCCUGGAAAGACACUGUUGCAUGGACCCAGCUGGAGAUCCAGAUGGUGAGCCCUGAUGAGUGUAGGCAUCAGUCGGCCUGAGAGGAGCAGGAAGUGAGGGAUGCUGGGGGAGUCCCAGAUUCAGUGCUGGGAGCAAUGGUCAGCUCCCUCUGCCCUUUUCCCUGCCAUGACCAUAAUGCCUGGUGGGCGUGCACUUUACUCAGUGAAGGCAAAUUGUAUCUAAGGCCAGAUAAAGUGUCAAGACCGCACAUCUCUGACUCAGACUGCCGUGAGUCAUCCUGAAGCCAGAGGACAUGCACUUUGAGACGACGGGCCUUGCACCCUUCUGGUUGGCACCUUUACUGCCCUAUGGACUCACGUGGCUGAUUGUGCUACGUCAGAGGCAGCCAGCAAGGAUUGAUGUCAACAUCUUAUAACUCAGAGGGCUUCUACUUGUCCCUUGCAGAAGGGAGGAAACAGCCCAGGCAAGUUCACGCAAGAGAUAAGAGUGGCGUGGACGGCUGGAUUCGCUGAAGCACUAACUCAUCACCGCCAGCACUGGGGGGAAUUGGGCUGGGGUGGUGGGUCAUGGCCCUCUGGAUUUCAGACGUGGAGGAAAGAUUGGAAGCAAUUUUAAAUUGAGAAUACAUUCCCAGGCCCUGUCAACAAUGUAGCAUGAGUCAUAAACUAAGUCAUUUCAUCAGUGUUCACCAAAUUUCAACUGUGUCUGGUGACACUUCUGUUCUCAAUCUAAUGCACUAUUGAUUCAACACUGCUCCUCUCCUAGGGAGCUCUUAGUACCUCAAAGUGAUGUUUUUAAAAUCUAGCCUAAUUGCUACAACCAUGAGGAAACUCCAAGGCCUCCUCCAGGCCUCAGUUUAUCAUCAGUUUAGGAUGGUCACCGUCAGCAGCAUAAUCUGAGGUCACCUGAGGUCCUGAGGCACUCCAACUUGCAGGCAAGAGAGGAGGUUAGAGGGCUGCCCACAUGGAUCUCUGGGCCUCAGCCCCCGUUUCUGAUUCAGUCUGGGGCGGGGCCUAAGAACUGGCCCACUCACAAGGUGCCCAGGUCAUAAGGAUGUUGCUGGUUCUUCUGGUUCCAGACCGCCCUUGAAAAGUGAAACUCAACGGUGAGGUGAAGGCCCCAGAGGAGCUAGAUCAGAAUCUUGGGCUCUGUUUACCCAGGGCAUGAGCUGCCUUUCUCCUGGCUUUGGUGACCUGUUCCCAGGCUCUUGGCAGGAAGUGCCCAGGCCACAGCCUCUGGUUUUCUCACUGCAGGGUAAGAAAAGGGUACCCGACCCAGAUUUCUUUUCCAAUUCAUAGGCAGAAGACUUUCAUACCCUCUCAGAGGGACGGUAGCACUCAAAUAGGAAGAGAUCUAACACUCUGUACCCCUGGCAACUCACUGUCCCUACCACAGCCUUUCCCUUCCCAGGUAUUUGGGCAUCUGCAUUUUUAAGCCUUGUCUCUCUAAUUAUAGAAUGUAAGGCUUUGUCUCCGGUGAAGGGUUCCCAGGCCAAAGAAGGGGACUGGGAACUUUUGAUGGGGGUCAGGAACAAUGGUAAAAAGAAGCUUGUGUGUGAAAGAGGAAGGAAGAGGAAGGUGCCGGGGGCAGGGCCCACCCCCGCCUCCACCAAGCUGCCAGCAAGGGGAGACCAGGGGCUGUCCCCACUGCACUGGCUCCCAUGGCCUGGCCGCCCCCUCACUCCUUGCCCCUCGGCAUGGUUUAAGCUUCCAGCUCCUUGGCGUUUGCCAAAAGGCAGACCUACAGCCAGCACAGGGAAGGGUGGAUGCAAAGAGCAGGGGUGGGGAGUGAGAAUCGCCACAGUGUGCUUCCUACUCUGGCUGUGUGCUACGCCCUCUUGGACCCUCUGUUGUCGGUCUAUAAAUGGGGAUACUGCCUUCUCUGUGCAUCGCUGUAAGGAUUUGAACUCAUGUUUGCCUGGAGCACGAGGACCCAACAAAAAGGUAGUUACUGUUAAUAAUAUUAAUAGAGCUGGAAGCGGAGAGAGGCUACUUUCAGGGUCCCCAGGGUAAUGAAUGGGAAGGGUCCCAGCAGAGGAGGUAAGUGAUAGGAACUCCUGGGGAGGCACAGGGUGGGAGUGCGUGGCUGGCCCAGGAAACAUAGGGGCUGGUUCAGGGGGGGUCAAGUGCAGCAAGAGAAGUCCAGCUGCCGGGGGAUGAGCUCCCAGUGACUCUGCGUUUUACCAAAAUGUGAGUCUGUGUGUGUGUGUGUGUGUGUGUGUGUGUGUGUGUGUGUGUGUGUGACUAUGAAAAGAUUAAUGAUCCACAGUAUCAGAGAAAACUAUGACCGUUAAGAGUAGAUCUAUGGAAAUAGCCAAGAUAUGGAAACAACCUAAAUCCAUUCAUCAGCAGGUGAAUGGAUAAAGAAGAAUGAAAUAAUGCCAUUUGCAGCUCCAUGGAUGGACCUAGAGAUUAUUAUACUAAGUGAAGUAAGUCAGAAAGAGAAAGACAAAUACCACAUGAUAUCACUUAUAUGUGGAAUCUAAAAUACGAUACAAAUCAACAUAUCUACAAAACGGAGACAGAAUCACAGACAUAGAGAACAGACUUGUGGUUGACAAGGGGGAGGAGGUUAGGGGAGGGAAGGAUUGGGAGUUUGGGAUUAGCAGAUGCAAACUAUUAUAUAUAGGAUACAUAAACAACAAGGUCCUACUGCAUAGCACAGAGAACUAUAUUCAAUAUCCUGUGACAAACCAUAACGGAAAAGAAUAUGAAAAAGAAUAUAUAUUAUAUAUAUAUAUAAAGAAUAUAUAUAUGAGUCACUUAGCUGAACAGCAGAAAUUAACACAACACUGUAAAUCAACUGUAUGUCAAUAAAAUUUUUAAAAAAAAGAACAGUUCUAUGGACACGUCUAACUCACAGAUCUUGGUUUCUAAAUACCGUUCUCUGAUUAAAGGGCCCAGGAGAUCUUGGAGGGUUGGAGUGGAAAGAUGAGCCUGGAACAUGUUAGGGUGCCAAGAAAUAAGUAACUUUUAUGCUGAGGUGCCAACAAGUGACGGGGACGUGUCUGAAAGACCCGGGGGCCAACCUGAAAGGGCUCUUCUGGGAGAGUUUGAGCAACAAGAUAAAUCAUGACGGCAAUGGGUUCUGACGCAUAGAAUAAAGACUCCGUGAGUCCAAGCUGACGUAAAGAAAUAGGUACAUGAGUAAGUAAGUGGGAGCAGAGGGAAUGCUCUUCCUCAAAAAUUCUAGGAUUUAUAGAAAUUAAUGAUUUCUAAAAUUUAUAGAAAUUAUUAUAAUUCUAGCUAGUAAGCCGCAUAGCACAGGGAGAUCAGCUCGGUGCUUUGUGACCACCUAGAGGGGUGGGAUAGGGAGGGUGGGAAGGAGGCACAAGAGGGAGGAGAUAUGGGGAUAUAUGUAUACAUAUAGCUGAUCCACUUUCUUAUAAAGCAGGAACUAACACACCAUUGUAAAGCAACUAUACUCCAAUAAAGAUGUUAAAAAAAAUCCUGCCAUUCAUAUAAAUGCAUCAACUCAAAUUUUUUCCAAGUAUCAAAAACAGCAUUUCUCCAUAACUACCUUGUAUUGUAAUUAAAGUUCUUAUCUCAGUUAAAGUGUUUUCCCUCUAAUACUGUUCUUGUGGAGAAGCUGUAGAACAAUUACUGAUAUUCAGACUUUUUGCUUUUUUAUCUAAUUGGUUUACUAUUCUCCAGCUUCGAUCCCAAAUAAAAAGAUAAAGAUUUAAAACUCUAAAAAAAAAAGAAAAGAACUCUAGUUAAUAAAUGUAGAAGGAAUCGUAGACUAGGACAGUCACUGGCAAAUCCCACAGUAGUGCUUGUUUCACAGAGAAAUCAUCAGUGGUUGCUGAAAUUAGCAAAAAUACGAUGAGAAACAGGAUACUGACAGUCUCACAGUAUCUCCCACAAGGUAGUUACUAAUGACAAAGGGGAAGAAGGCAACUUUACCGGGGAUAAACCUGGCAGCUGCCUUAACCAAGGGAUCAAAGUGAACGCCUCCAGUGAUGGACCAAAUCGACAUUGUGUGCCUCUUGACACAAGGCACUGAGAAGGGCACAGGAGGACACCUUCAGUGUUCUUGCCAAAAAUGCAUAAUUUGAAUUUAAUCCUGAGGAAACAUCAGGCACCUAAAAUAAGGGGCAUUCUACAAAAUAACUAGCCAGUACUUCUUCGAAAACGUUAAAAUCACAAUGGAAAAGACUGAGGAGGACUGAAGGGUUCCUGCACUGCAUCCUGGACCACAAAGGGGACACCAGUAGGACAGCCGGGGAAAUUUAAAUAGGAUUGUGCCAGUGUUAAUUUCCAGAUUUCCAUAAUUGUGCUGUGUUUAUGUAACAAUUGGGAAAUUGGAGUGAAGGUAUUUGAGAACUCUUGGUACUGCUUACAACAUUUUUGUAAGUCUGAAAUUAAUUCAAAAUGAAAAGUUUUUUAAAAUUAAAAAGUAAUUAUAGAUGCUGGAAAGCUCACUAAAUGAGAAGACUCCCAAAUUGAUUUGGCCGUGUAAUCAGCUGCUAGUUACCUUAGUGACAGGUAACUAGCAGCUGAUUACUAGCAGUGACAGGAACGGCCCAACUGCCAGGUGGCAGGAGCAUCACCACACAUCGAGGGGCUUCAACACUGCCCGUCUACUAGCUCGCUGUUCUGUAGGUCAGAGGUCACGCAGCGAGACUGGGUUCUCUGCUCUCUGAACCAAGGUGUCAGCCGGGCUGAGUUCUAACCGGGAGGCUCUGGAGAAAAACCCACUUCCGAGCCCUUUCUCGUGGGCAGAAUUCAGUUCCCAUGGCUGUCUGCGGGUUCCCAUUUCCCUCUGGCUGUCCGCGGGGGCCACCUGCGUUCCUGCCUCCAUCUUCAAGGCGGGACGAGUCCUUCUCACGCUCUGAGCUCUGACCUCUGACCUCUUCUUCUGGGACCAGCUGGAGAAAACUCUCUGCCUUAAAGGACUCUGGCCCACCCGGAUAAUCCCCCUCUCUUAAGGUCAGCUGACUUGGGCUCUUAAUUACAUCUGCAAUUCCCUCCUCUGUGGUACCUAGACUCCUGUUUGCCGGAAUCACCGCGGCCAGGAAUCUCGGGGGCCAUGGGAGAAGCCCGCCAACCACGGGGGAGUAAUCUCUUAAACCGAAUGCAUGCAUGUGAAUUGGCAGCAGGUGAUGGCCGGGGAGAGUGGGCUACCCACAGUGAGGAUGCGGAUGCCCCAGGGCCCCUGCCCCGCCACGGGCUGAUCCUCAGAGAGGCCUCCUUUCUCCCCAGGCAAUCCUCCUGCUUAAACUCCCUGACCGUGCGGGAAGGUGGUCAGUUUUCCUCUCUCCUCCUUUCACCUGGAGUUUCAGAAAUCAGGAUUUAGUCUCUAGGGGACCGAUCCUUUUCAAAUUCUUGAUUAAUGCCCCCAAGGGAGGAGAGCGCCAUUGUGUUUCUUGUUCAACUGUCCCUGCAAGUUCGUAAGCACGGAGCAGUUACAGCUGAGCCUGUUGGGAACAUGUGCCUCACGGCCAACCAGCUCCGUCGGGGACAGUCACCCCUUUCUUCAGAAGGAAAGAAUAGCUGAAGUGAGGCUCCAAAGUCAGUGGUUGGCCUUGGCCGGCGGUUCAGAGUCUAACUCCGGCCUUUGAAGCCCACUGGGCCCAGGGAUGGGUUUGAGGUGAGGACAGAGCCACUGAAAACAUCAGAGCCCUAAAUGACUGAGCGUAACCAGUCUGCUCCUAGGAAGCCACUCCUGUGGCAGUACAACCAGGCUUUUUUUUAAUGUUACAAAGGGCUUUCGUGUGUUUUCACUGCACUCUGACAAGUUUUUGAUUCAUGCAGAGGCCAACAUUCACCCCGUUUCUCGGAUGACAAAGCUGGCCCCGGGGCGGGGGGGAGGGGUUUGCCCCCGUGGCUGGGCCAGACAAGGACAGAGUUCCGAAUCUAGGCCUCUCGACCAAGGCCACUGUUCUCACUCCCCACCCUCUCUCCAGGGAGCUGUGCUCUCUCCUGGCCCUCAUUGUCCUGCGGGCAGGAUGUCACAGUCCUGAGGGUAAGCUUAGCCGGGAAUCGGCGGCCAUUUGAUCUCAGUGUAUUUUGUCUUAAUAACCUAUUCAUGGCUGAGGAGCCAGGCUGCCUCUUUCCCAGAAAUCAGGCUAAAUCUCCUGGGCCAAGUGGCGGCUUUCCACCCCAUUAUGGUCCAAGAAUGUGAUGCUGCCUCUGAAGGGGGAAAUGAAGAGUCAUUGUGAUUUCAAUGAGUCACAUGAUCACUUCUGGAGAAAAAGGGUAAAUCUGCUUUAUGACAUAGGUUUCACUUCACCUGUAAUAAGGACACUCACUCAAGAGGCAAACGAAACAGUGGACGGGUCAGGCCGUGGAGGCGGGUGGCGGAUGCGUGACCAAGUCCAGCGCUGGCUCCGGUUCUGCUGCCGAGGCCACUUCUCCCUUCCUCUGCCUCUGAUUCCCCAUCUCGGCAACAAAGAAUACCAGUUGUCGGCUGAAUGUAAGGAGCAAACGACUGCUUAAGAGAAAAGAUACAUCAAAGUUCUAAUGUAAAUUCGGUGUGACGACUUUACCGUCUGACCGAGGAUGCCUAGUGGCCCAUCUCUGGCUGGUGGACUGAGAACUAAACACAGAUGAGACGUGGAACCAAGGCUUUCAUCCACCUCUGGCUGGGUAGGAGGAGUCUACCUGCCUUUCAAGGAAGACUGAUGAGCCAGAUAAGCAGAGAGAUGGCAUCUUUUAACACUGGAAAAAGCAAGUUAUAUCACUCUUCCCCGCCUCACCCAAUACUUUCAAGUUGACUUGUUUCAGAAAGAAGUUGAACAUCUUACUCCAGCCUCUUCUUCCCACUAAGCCUUGGGAAGAUGAAACAGUUCAACAUGAGUAAGCUUGAUAAGGGCCACCAACCAGCACAGUGGUGGCAGCACCCAGCUGGCAGUGGUAUUUCAGUCUUUGGAUACAACUUCUGGGUCUGCCCAAAAGGGCUGUCAUUAGUAGGAGGGGACUAGCUCUCCCGAAUGAGGGAUGUGUGGGUUAGCCUAAAAGGACCCGCGAGGAGGAAGGUUUAUUUUUGUCAGAAGAUAUGCAUUUGUCUAAUCGCCUGGAGGGAAAAGCUUUGCUUUUAUUCCCGCACAGUCAUUGUUACGAAAAUAACACAACUGGUGAGAAGCGGCAAAUGAGGAAAUCAUACACCAGCCUCCAUGAGUUGUAUAAGCAACUGUCCGCGGUGAAGUCUUAUUAAAGUGAAAUUGUUAGUUCUCGGCUUCUCAAGAAGCAUGGAGUCUUUGAUCAGAAGCUCUCAGGUGGAGGCCGUCCUGCACCAGCCCUGCUGUUCGGGAGGGCAUUCCGCUGCAAGAGCAGGAACCCACGAGAAGGCGAAGAAGGGCGCGGAUGAACUCGGGGGAGGAGCCUAACGAUGGCAGGUGCCCACUGCCUGGCGCAUCGUCCUCACCUGCGCAUCCCGGCUCCCGCCCCCCUCCCGCCCCCAAGCUGUGGACUCAGCUGAGAAGUGUCUAAGCCCCUCCUACGUGUCCUCAACAAGCCCACUGAAAUAUGCUAGGGGCGGGGGCGGGGCAGUGACAACGAAAGGAGCGUGAGGCACGCGAUCUUCGAUCUUCGCAGACAGAAAGCCCCCCUCAGCGGGGACACCUGGUAGAGACUGACAGAGACAGGCAAAGUGAGUCAGAGGCCUGCGUCAGCGUGAAGAUGGGGACUCACUGGACCAGGGCCACAUGAGGCGGCACAAGUGAGAAAUUCUCCGCCUCCGUCCUUGGCCAAGCCUCCUUUGGACCAAAGGUUUUAUUUUUAGCGAAUGCCAUGUCUUCCCUCUUACGUUAUCUGAUAACGCCCAGACUUACUAAACUGCUGCAAGAAACCCUAACUCCUUUCAUACCUUUGGGGGCUUAGAAACACCUCUAGGAAGGAGACGGAGGAGAACCAUCUGCAAAAAGAGCAGCGCAGAGGAGACUCCACGACACCCGGGUGCGAGUGGGAAGGCGCCGCUCUCUGUGAAUGAGGGCUGCCUGGGCAAGGUCGGGAGGCUGGGGCUCAGCUACCUAGUCGUGCUGGCAGAGCAGCAGACGUGACCAUCACUUCCCUUGAGCUUCCAAGCUAACGCAACAGCCUGCAUCUCAUUAAAAACAAAGUCAGCUUUGGAGUUCUUCAGACGUCUCUGGUUCCUACAACAUAGAUCACUUUUUAAGAGAAUACAUUAUCAAGACAUUUAGAAAAUCAUUAAACAAGCACAGUAACUUUCGGAGAUUCAUUUAAGAAACGACUUUCUAUACAUGUCCUGGGGAAAUAAGACAAGCCACCCUGACUGUGGAAGAUUGCUGGUUGCCUACCUAAUACCCAUUCACCCUCUUCUUCUCAGAAAGAGAACUUGCAAGGUUUAGCAGGACACAAAGCUGUCUGAAAAAAGGCAACGUCCCCAGCCUCCUUUUCAGCUGGCUGUGCACCUGACCAAGUUCCAUCCAAUGCAAAGUGAACAGAAAUACUGGAUUGUGUUAUCAAAGUACAGCUGGCACAUGCCUCCGUAAACUCUUCUUCCACCCCUCUUUCUCCUUCUUGUAGAUGGAAAGCAGAUGUGAUGGCUGGAACUUAAGCAGCCUUCACAGACCAUGAAGUGGAAGGCACGUGCUAAACAUGGUAGGGCAAUUAGAUAGGCAGCACCUGGGUUCCUCUUACUGUCACCUGGCCACCUCAAACUGCUUCUCUUGGAACGUUUCUGUGAAAGACAAAAACACUCUUAUUUAAGCUACUGUACUGGGUUGAAUAGUGUCCUCCAAAUUUAUGCCCUUUCCAGAACCUCAGAAUGUGACCUUAUUUGGAAAUAGGGUCUUUGCAGAUGCAAUUAGUCAAGAUGAGGGCAUACUGGAGUAGGGUAACCCUAAAUCCAACAUGACCGGUGUCCUUGUAAGAAAGAUACCGGAACAGAACGCCACGUGAUAGAGAUUGAAGUGAUGUGUCUAAAGGCUAGGAAAUGCCAAGGAUGGCCACAACUACCAGAAGAUAGGAAGAGGCCAGGAAGGAUCCUCCCCGGGGCCUUCAGAGAGAGCUCAGUCCUGUCGACACCUUGAUUUCGGACUUGUAGCUUCCAGAACGGUGAGAGAAUAAAUUUCUGUUGUUUUCAGCCCCCCAGUUUGUGGUCAUUUGCUAUGGCAGCCCCAGGAAACUGGUUCAUCUCCUGUUACAUGUUUUGUCUUUGUUACACAAGGCCUAGCCUAAACCUCUGUACUAACCCUGCAGAACCACUGCUUUUUCCAUUUGACGCCACCGUUCACUCAGGAAUGGGAAAUUUUGCUGGCAAAUGGCUGAUGAUUUCCACUGAUUUAUAGGAGAUGAAAGUUUUAUUACCAGCUCCACUCUUAACUCUGCCCAGACCCUUCCUCCCUGCACCUCACACUAGAUUCAGCAGUGCUCUCUGUGACCGCGCAAUUGAUAAAAAACGCAAUACAGUUGAUUCUUUGUAUCCACGGGUUCCACAUCUGCGGAUUAAACCAGCUGCGGAUCAAAAAUAUUUAAAAAUACUUUCCAGAAAGUUCCAAAAAGAAAAACUUGAAUUUGCCCCGUGCUGACAACUAUACAGCCUUUACCUUAUUAGGUAUUAUAAGCAAUCUGGAGGUGAUUUAAAGUGUACGGGAGCAUGUGGGUAGGUUACAUGCAAAUACUAUGCCAUUUUAUAUAAGGGACUUCAGUAUCCUCAGAUUUUGGUAUGGGGGUGUUUCCUGGAACCAAUGCCCCACAGAUACCGAGGGAUGACCCUAGAGGUAAGGGGGGCAGAGCAGGAAAACUGCCUGGUUAAUAAGAUCACUCAGCGCUUACUUUCUAACACCCAGUUUCUCUUUCACUCUUGUUCUGUCAUUCCUCUUCACCCUCUCCCCUCUCCCUACCCCCCGCCCCAUCCACUCUGGGCAAGGAACCUCUGGGCCAUCCCAGAAGCAAGUCACAAAGUGCUACCUGGAAAGUAUAUCUAGACCCCUCUGAAGUAGCUGUGGUAACUAGGCCUUCCACACCCAAAUUCCAGAUAUAUAACUGCAAGGACUCCGAAAAGAAAACAACAGUAAUAAUCAGAAUCUGAGCUGGAUGACUGCCACGUAAGCGGUGCUUUUAGCACAAGCUGCACCAUCCUUGCUCUUGGCUUCUCCUCAUGAUGUAAUGGCAAGUGCUGACCUGAAGGGCACACACAGCCCUUGCCGACAGCCUAAGCCAUCAGCGCUCCCUGCUGCAGCAACAACGACCCACGAGAAUGAGUGUGUCAAGUUUCCCUUCUUCCAGCAUUGGAUGACUCCACUUAUCUCUCAAUCUUCAAGUUCAUUAAUGCCUCUGAUGCAUCACUGCCAUACUUCAAGUGUCCCCUUAGGCACAGUAACCCUCUUUUACUGAUGGCAGAGGUUAGAACAGAGACUGCAAAAACUUAAAAAAAAAAAAAAUCAAAAGUUUCCUUUGAGUUCAUUGAUACAUAUUAUCAAUUCCCUUAAAACACCACAAACCUUAACUUACUGAUAAAAAAGAAAGUCAAGAAUAAUUAUCCAAAAGUCACACCAAAAAUGUUCAAAUAAGUUGUCAUUCAUUCAUUCAGAGAUCAGAGAGCCUACUGAUGCUCUCUGAUGCCAGGCAUGUUGGCAGCGUGGACUCUUUCUGCACAGUCUGGGGGUGCGUACAGACCGGCAGCCACAUGCGCUCCACAGUGUGACGAGUGCUAUGACACAGGGUGACAGAGGGGGUGACGGGAGCAGAGGCCACGCCUAGCGUGGAGCUGUGGGUACAGGUAUUAGCAGGCAUUUAUAACCUAAGCGUUGGAGCCUGAAGGAUCAGCACAAAUCACCUAGGGGAAAGUGGAAGCCCCACAAGGUGGAAGAACUCUGAGAAGUUCUGUGUGGCCCUGCAGCAGGUGCAGGGGUGUGGGAGGGUGACGGUGCAAGGGGAGGAUGGAGAAGCACGCAGGGCAGGAGAGCGGGGGCUUUGUUGGGCAUGCGAAGGAAAAUCAGGGCAGCUCCAGACUUGAGGACACAGACUCAACUCAGAGUAAAGUCUAGGCCUUAGGCUGAAAUCAGGGAGUUAAAGAAAGUUUGCUGAAUUAAGUGAGGGGAACCCCAGCUCACUUCCCAGAACACUAGCUGGGGAAUGUAGUCUUUAUUUUUUGGACAGUUUUGUGUUCAGCUAAAGCUUAGAGGUCUCUUUCUAAGGAAAGGAGUGUGAGGGGUAUUAGGGUAGGAAACCAGCAAUCUACCACAGUCAGGAUGGCUUGUCCUAUUAUUCUGUUGUUGUUGUUUAUCUUGUCCCAUGUAUAGUCCAAGUGCUUAGACAACUGCCUGUACAUAGCGCUUAAUAAAGAAUCAUUGAGAUAAUAAAACAAAAAAACCUCAUUUAUGUCCUCAAAGAGAUAAAGUUAGGGGAAAAAAGAAAGACCAGGAUGCCAUGCUAAAAAGUAAAAAGAGAGAGAAAGGAAGGAAGGGAGGACGGGAGGGAGGGAAGAAAGAAGAAAGAGUAUAUCAAAAUAACAUUUCAAAAAGAAUUUAAGAUCCAAUACUUGAUUAAUUGGAGUUUCAGAAAAAGAGAACAGAAAACUAAAUGAUGAAGCAAUAGUACUACAUAAUACAAGAUUAAUUUCCCAGACUUUAAAGACACAAGUCUCUAGGUUGAAAGGGCCAACCACAUCAUGACAUUUCUCAACACUGGGAGUAAAGAAAACAUCCUAAAUGCUUCCAGAGAGAAAAAGAUGUCACAUUCAAGGAAAAAUCAGAAGAGUCCUAGACUUCUCAACAUCAACUGAAGGAACUAAAAUGAAAUGGCAUAACAGCUCAGAAGUCUGAUGGAAGACAGUUUAAAACCCAGCCACGUAUGUAAGUAUAAAAAUCAAGGAUGGGGUCAGAAUAAAGACAUUUACAGACACAUAAAAACUAACAAAAUUCUCAUGAAGUUCCUGGCGGGAUGUAUUCCGUGAAAGCAAGAACAUAGAAGAUAGGAGACUAUAAAAAUAAGGGACCCAACACUGAAAACAGCCAAGGGAGGUCUCAAGAUGGCAAUGCACAAAUACCUAGAAAGUGACCAGUCCAGAUUGGGGCAAAAGGUCAGAGGACUCAGUGGGGAGAGGGCUCCAGGAAAAAUAUGAAACUAAUGGAUUAACUGAUAUACCUGACCAGGGGUAAAAAUACUGAAUGGCAGAUAAAAACCAAUGGAAGA
Long non-coding RNA from Orcinus orca (killer whale), 12846 nucleotides. RefSeq lists it as uncharacterized. Lineage: Eukaryota; Metazoa; Chordata; Mammalia; Artiodactyla; Delphinidae. The record is from RefSeq and is a predicted model, not a curated record. The transcript is spliced from 4 exons.